GACGAACGCUGGCGGCGUGCUUAACACAUGCAAGUCGAACGGAAAGGCCCUGCUUUUGUGGGGUGCUCGAGUGGCGAACGGGUGAGUAACACGUGAGUAACCUGCCCUUGACUUUGGGAUAACUUCAGGAAACUGGGGCUAAUACCGGGUAGGAGCUCCUGCUGCAUGGUGGGGGUUGGAAAGUUUCGGCGGUUGGGGAUGGACUCGCGGCUUCUCAGCUUGGUGGUGGGGUAGUGGCUUACCAAGGCUUUGACGGGUAGCCGGCCUGAGAGGGUGACCGGCCACAUUGGGACUGAGAUACGGCCCAGACUCCUACGGGAGGCAGCAGUGGGGAAUAUUGCACAAUGGGCGGAAGCCUGAUGCAGCAACGCCGCGUGCGGGAUGACGGCCUUCGGGUUGUAAACCGCUUUCGCCUGUGACGAAGCGUGAGUGACGGUAAUGGGUAAAGAAGCACCGGCUAACUACGUG
RNAcentral lists this ribosomal RNA (468 nucleotides) under uncultured bacterium. RNAcentral's name for it is "partial 16S ribosomal RNA". It matches the Rfam family "Bacterial small subunit ribosomal RNA", at positions 28 to 507 of the family's 1533-position model. The record is from RNAcentral.